GUGAGGAAUUUUGGACAAUGGGCGCAAGCCUGAUCCAGCAAUGCCGCGUGCAGGAAGAAGGCCUUCGGGUUGUAAACUGCUUUUGUACGGAACGAAAAGGCUCUGGUUAAUACCUGGGGCUCAUGACGGUACCGUAAGAAUAAGCACCGGCUAACUACGUGCCAGCAGCCGCGGUAAUACGUAGGGUGCAAGCGUUAAUCGGAAUUACUGGGCGUAAAGCGUGCGCAGGCGGUUUUGUAAGACAGACGUGAAAUCCCCGGGCUCAACCUGGGAACUGCAUCUGUGACUGCAUUGCUGGAGUGCGGCAGAGGGGGAUGGAAUUCCGCGUGUAGCAGUGAAAUGCGUAGAUAUGCGGAGGAACACCGAUGGCGAAGGCAAUCCCCUGGGCCUGCACUGACGCUCAUGCACGAAAGCGUGGGGAUCAAACAGGAUUAGAAACCCCAGUAGUCC
Molecule: ribosomal RNA, 450 nt
Filed under: uncultured bacterium
Lineage: Bacteria
Description: partial 16S ribosomal RNA
Rfam family: Bacterial small subunit ribosomal RNA
Source: RNAcentral